This 460-nucleotide ribosomal RNA is filed under the name uncultured bacterium. Its description in RNAcentral is "partial 16S ribosomal RNA". It matches the Rfam family "Bacterial small subunit ribosomal RNA", at positions 338 to 795 of the family's 1533-position model. The record is from RNAcentral.
CCUACGGGAGGCAGCAGUGAGGAAUAUUGGUCAAUGGACGAGAGUCUGAACCAGCCAAGUAGCGUGAAGGAUGACUGCCCUAUGGGUUGUAAACUUCUUUUAUAUGGGAAUAAAACGUUCCACGUGUGUGAUUUUGUAUGUACCAUAUGAAUAAGGAUCGGCUAACUCCGUGCCAGCAGCCGCGGUAAUACGGAGGAUCCGAUCGUUAUCCGGAUUUAUUGGGUUUAAAGGGAGCGUAGGUGGAUUGUUAAGUCAGUUGUGAAAGUUUGCGGCUCAACCGUAAAAUUGCAGUUGAAACUGGCAGUCUUGAGUACAGUAGAGGUGGGCGGAAGUCGUGGUGUAGCGGUGAAAUGCUUAGAUAUCACGAAGAACUCCGAUUGCGAAGGCAGUUCACUGGACUGCAACUGACACUGAGGCUCGAAAGUGUGGGUAUCAAACAGGAUUAGAUACCCUUGUAGUC